UUUGGAGGAAAGCAUUACUCAAGAGAAAAACAGAGCAAAAGCAGCGUUAGAGGAAGAACAGAAGAGAGUCCAAGAGCUGGAGAAGCGCUUAGCCGGCCAGAGGAAGGCUUUGGAGGACAGCAUGACUCAAGAGAAGAGCAGAGCACAGGACGCAUUAGAGGAAGAACAGACCAGAGUCCAAGAGCUGGAGAAGCGCUUGACCCACCAGAAGGAGGGCAAUAGCCAGAACCAGACACCAGACACGGUUCUCCAGCCGCGAUGGCCUAGGGCAGGCCUCUCCUCUCCCUUGUUGAAGAUGCUGUCCUUCUGUGGAUGCACUUAAACUAGCUUUGGGGAGAGCUCUAUUACAGUGUGGACUCGUGUGGACUUUGUGGUCGCCCUCAGAUCUCUGAGUCUUUUCAUAAAAUGCUU
Molecule: non-coding RNA, 411 nt
Organism: Manis javanica (Malayan pangolin)
Lineage: Eukaryota; Metazoa; Chordata; Mammalia; Pholidota; Manidae
Source: RefSeq, a predicted model, not a curated record